Molecule: ribosomal RNA, 652 nt
Filed under: Grapholita molesta (oriental fruit moth)
Lineage: Eukaryota; Metazoa; Arthropoda; Insecta; Lepidoptera; Tortricidae
Description: partial 16S ribosomal RNA
Source: RNAcentral
UUCUCGAAUUUAAAAGAGUUAAUUAAUUAAAAAAUUUAUUGUAGCAAAAAUAUUUUUCAUAAUUAAUUAGAAAUGAAAUGUUAAUCGUUUUUAAAUAUAUCUAGUUUUUUUAGAAAAAAAUUUAAUUUUAAACUAAAUUAAUUAAAAAAUUAAUUAAAAAAUUUUUUAAAAUUUAAAUUUAAUAUUUUAAGGGAUAAGCUUUAAUUUAAAAUAUUUAUAAUUAAAUAUUAAAUUUUUUGAAAAUUUUAAAAUUUAUAUUGUUUAAAAAUUAUAAUUUUUUAUAAAUAAUUUCAUAAAAAAUAAAAUUUAAUUUUAAUUUAAUUUUUUAUAAAAAAAAUAAAAUUUAAAAAAAUAAUUUUAGUUAUAAUGAUAAAAUUAGUAUAUAAAUUUUAUUUAAUUAAUAUUAUAAAAUAUUUUUAAAUGAAAAAUUAAUUAUAAGGAAUUCGGCAAAAAUUUAUAUUCACUUGUUUAUCAAAAACAUGUCUUUUUGAAAUAAUUUAAAGUCUAAUCUGCCCACUGAUGAAAAUUGAAGGGCUGCAGUAUUUUGACUGUACAAAGGUAGCAUAAUCAUUAGUCUCUUAAUUGGUGACUUGUAUGAAAGAUUGGAUGAGAUAUAAGCUGUCUUAUUUUUAUUUAUAGAAUUUAAUUUUUU